AUAUCAAUAAGCGGAGGAAAAGAAACUAACAAGGAUUCCCCUAGUAACUGCGAGUGAAGCGGGAAGAGCUCAAAUUUAAAAUCUGGCAGUUUUGCUGUCCGAGUUGUAAUCUAGAGAAGCGUUUUCCGUGCUGGACCGUGUACAAGUCUCUUGGAAUGGAGCGUCGUAGAGGGUGACAAUCCCGUCUUUGACACGGACUGCCGGUGCUUUUGUGAUGCGCUCUCAAAGAGUCGAGUUGUUUGGGAAUGCAGCUCAAAAUGGGUGGUAAACUCCAUCUAAAGCUAAAUACAGGCGAGAGACCGAUAGCGAACAAGUACCGUGAGGGAAAGAUGAAAAGAACUUUGAAAAGAGAGUUAAACAGUAC
This 364-nucleotide ribosomal RNA is filed under the name uncultured fungus. Its description in RNAcentral is "eukaryotic LSU rRNA". It matches the Rfam family "Eukaryotic large subunit ribosomal RNA", at positions 40 to 398 of the family's 3401-position model. The record is from RNAcentral. Lineage: Eukaryota; Fungi.